UACGUAGGUGGCGAGCGUUGUCCGGAUUUACUGGGCGUAAAGAGCGCGCAGGCGGUCGUGCAAGUCGCGUGUGAAAGCCCCCGGCUCAACUGGGGAGGGUCACGCGAUACUGCUCGACUCGAAGGCAGGAGAGGGAAGUGGAAUUCCCGGUGUAGUGGUGAAAUGCGUAGAUAUCGGGAGGAACACCAGUGGCGAAGGCGGCUUCCUGGCCUGUUCUUGACGCUGAGGCGCGAAAGCUAGGGGAGCAAACGGG
RNAcentral lists this ribosomal RNA (253 nucleotides) under uncultured bacterium. Its description in RNAcentral is "partial 16S ribosomal RNA". It matches the Rfam family "Bacterial small subunit ribosomal RNA", at positions 524 to 776 of the family's 1533-position model. The record is from RNAcentral.